RNAcentral lists this non-coding RNA (21 nucleotides) under Caenorhabditis elegans. The record is from RNAcentral. Lineage: Eukaryota; Metazoa; Nematoda; Chromadorea; Rhabditida; Rhabditidae.
UCUUCCUUUUUUACUCUCUCU